This 402-nucleotide ribosomal RNA is filed under the name uncultured bacterium. Its description in RNAcentral is "bacterial SSU rRNA". It matches the Rfam family "Bacterial small subunit ribosomal RNA", at positions 355 to 774 of the family's 1533-position model. The record is from RNAcentral.
UGGGUAAUAUUGCACAAUGGGCGAAAGCCUGAUGCAGCAACGCCGCGUGAGUGAUGAAGGCCUUCGGGUUGUAAAGCUCUGUCUUCUGGGACGAUAAUGACGGUACCAGAGGAGGAAGCCACGGCUAACUACGUGCCAGCAGCCGCGGUAAUACGUAGGUGGCAAGCGUUGUCCGGAUUUACUGGGCGUAAAGGAUGCGUAGGCGGAUACUUAAGUCAGAUGUGAAAAUCCCGGGCUUAACUUGGGAACUGCAUUUGAAACUGGGUAUCUAGAGUGCGGGAGAGGAAAGUGGAAUUCCUAGUGUAGCGGUGAAAUGCGUAGAGAUUAGGAAGAACACCAGUGGCGAAGGCGACUUUCUGGACCGUAACUGACGCUGAGGCAUGAAAGCGUGGGGAGCAAACA